RNAcentral lists this ribosomal RNA (402 nucleotides) under uncultured bacterium. Its description in RNAcentral is "bacterial SSU rRNA". It matches the Rfam family "Bacterial small subunit ribosomal RNA", at positions 355 to 774 of the family's 1533-position model. The record is from RNAcentral.
UGGGGAAUAUUGGACAAUGGGCGAAAGCCUGAUCCAGCCAUGCCGCGUGAGUGAUGAAGGCCCUAGGGUUGUAAAGCUCUUUCACCGGUGAAGAUAAUGACGGUAGCCGGAGAAGAAGCCCCGGCUAACUUCGUGCCAGCAGCCGCGGUAAUACGAAGGGGGCUAGCGUUGUUCGGAAUUGCUGGGCGUAAAGCGCACGUAGGCGGAUUGUUAAGUCGGGGGUGAAAUCCCGGGGCUCAACCCCGGAACUGCCUUCGAUACUGGCAAUCUAGAGUCCGGAAGAGGUGAGUGGAAUUCCGAGUGUAGAGGUGAAAUUCGUAGAUAUUCGGAGGAACACCAGUGGCGAAGGCGGCUCACUGGUCCGGUACUGACGCUGAGGUGCGAAAGCGUGGGGAGCAAACA